UCGAGCUGCAAUGGUGGCUAACAGGCUAUUUAAGAAUUCACCAAAAACAAAACAAAACAAAAGGCUAUUCACAGGGGGUGGCAGUGUCUGAUGUCCUCAUCACCCAAAUUAAUGAGUGCCAACAUCUCCCCUGGCCCCUAUGAGACGUGGAGAGGAAACUGAAUUAGGACUGCAUGUGGAUAACAGAGUCAGCCAUCAGAUGAAGGCUAGCUGUCCAAAAACGGCCUUUUCCGGAAUGGGUCCAGCCUGCACUGC
Microcebus murinus (gray mouse lemur) is the source of this 255-nucleotide non-coding RNA. The record is from RefSeq and is a predicted model, not a curated record. Lineage: Eukaryota; Metazoa; Chordata; Mammalia; Primates; Cheirogaleidae.